This 460-nucleotide ribosomal RNA is filed under the name uncultured Bacteroidota bacterium. RNAcentral's name for it is "bacterial SSU rRNA". It matches the Rfam family "Bacterial small subunit ribosomal RNA", at positions 35 to 489 of the family's 1533-position model. The record is from RNAcentral. Lineage: Bacteria; Pseudomonadati; Bacteroidota.
GCUAGCGGCAGGCCUAACACAUGCAAGUACGAGGGGCAGCAGACCACUUCGGUGGUGCUGGCGACCGGCGCACGGGUGAGUAUCGCGUUUGUAACCUACCCUUAACUGGGGAAUAGCCCGAAGAAAUUCGGAUUAAUACCCCAUUAAAUUUUAGCACGGCAUCGUGCUUCCAUUAAAGCUCCGGCGGUUAAGGAUGGGCAUGCGUGACAUUAGUUUGUUGGUGAGGUAACGGCUCACCAAGACUACGAUGUCUAGGGGGUCUGAGAGGAUGAUCCCCCACACUGGUACUGAGACACGGACCAGACUCCUACGGGAGGCAGCAGUGAGGAAUAUUGGGCAAUGGACGCAAGUCUGACCCAGCCAUGCCGCGUGCAGGAUGACGGCGCUAUGCGUUGUAAACUGCUUUUAUACAGGAAGAAAUCCCCGAACGUGUUCGGGGUUGACGGUACUGUAAGAAUAA